GAAUCACUGACUCCGCUGAUGAGGAAGCAGAGACUCAGUGUGGGUGAAGAAACCUCUUACAGGCCAUUCCACUGGUGGGUAGGAUCCACACCCGCAUUAUCUGAUUUCAGAACCUAUGAUCCUCGCCAUGACAGUGUGAAGCCCCGUUCCCUUCACAACAGAUGGCUGUGAGCUUGGAUGGCUGUCAACCUCAUUCCACAAAACACACAUUCUGUAUUCAUCCGGAUCCUCUGAAAAGCAGAUGUCAAGAUGGGCUUCCACUUGCAGGAACCCAUUGAGGGAAUGCCUGUGAGCGCUGGGUGGAAGCAGGAGUGGGUGGGAGAGCCUGAGACUGACAUGCAGGCUGCACCUGGGAAGCAGGUGGGAAGGAAGCAGUGGGUGGGCGGAGCCUCUGACGGCAGCCCUGUGCAGAGAAGGUUUUGGCUGGGUGGGCCCUGCGGGGCAGGCACCCUUAAGAGGAAUCCAAGAUCGGGCAGCAAAGGGGCUGCACAAGGACUUGCCCUGUGCUCGGUCCUUGGCUGGGAGCAGCCUGGAAAGCGUGGCCUUGGCAUGAAGUUGGCAGAUCCAGAGGGACAGGAGGAAGGACGGUGGCCACCAGGCCACAUCACCAAAGCAUUGUCCAAUAGCUUCGUUUACCUUUAGCAACGAGACUAAAAAGGCACCUACAGUGUGGUGAGUGACAGAGACAGUGGGCAUCUUGAAGCACUGUCUUGAGGGUUUUUUGGUUUUUUUUUUCAGUACUCUACGACUGAGGAACAUCCCUAGUGCCCAUCCCUACCUAGUGCCCUCUCCUAGCCUCCACCAUACCUGGGCUGUCCAGAGCCUCUGCAUGACCUUUAGAGCCAGCUCCAGCUCAAUGGCCACCAGUGAGCAGUGAAGAAUACAGUCUCCAGGGACGACUUUCCAGUAGCCUGGACAGAAAGGCACUUGGUGAGCCUUUGUUCCUAUCUGCAUGUCGGGGCUAACCCACCGGAUGGCGGGAGGACUGAAUGACUGCAUGUGAAAGUGUGUGGAAUGACUGCACAUCUCUUUCCAGAGGAGGGUAGAUGAACUGUGUCCAUUCCUCAGUAUUAUAAGAACGUUUCCCAGCCGGCCAUUCUCUCCCCCUUCCAACUAGGAGUCAUCUCUGCAUCUACACAAGAAAGCACUAAUGAGCAUUUCCAUGCCCUAAAUUUGACAGAUAGCUAAAUAGUAUUGGAUCACAGAUUUUUUUUUAAAGGAUCCAGCAUUAAAAGUUAAGAUAUUUCAUGUAAGAAUCUAGGUGGCCAAAAGCAGGAUUAAAGACUUGGCAUCUCUGCUUCCAUUUUGCACCUGUGUCCUUUGCACCUUGGAUUCUGGGAUAAAGACCUGAUGGAUGAGCAUCCUGUGGGGAAUGGAAGCUACCCGGCAGGCAACAGCCACUUUCUUAUCAUGGACAGGGCUCUGCCGGGCCAAUCACCCAGUCAAGAUGAACCAGACCACACCUGAUGGAGAUCACCUGUUUGGCAGCUACGAAAAGUCUCCAGCUGUGCAAACCUCCAACCCUUGCCCUCCUUUCCUCCCUAUAAAUCUUCAAAGUCAUCAUCAGCUCCUUGAGGUUGGGCUGAGCACAACAUAAGGAUGUGGGUCCCCUUUUCUUUCUGUUGUAGCCACAUUGAUUAAAGUUCUCUUCAUAUUUUCACCAUUACCUUUUC
Molecule: long non-coding RNA, 1673 nt
Filed under: Marmota monax (woodchuck)
Lineage: Eukaryota; Metazoa; Chordata; Mammalia; Rodentia; Sciuridae
Source: RNAcentral